AUUGAACGCUGGCGGCAGGCCUAACACAUGCAAGUCGAGCGGAUGAAGGGAGCUUGCUCCUGGAUUCAGCGGCGGACGGGUGAGUAAUGCCUAGGAAUCUGCCUGGUCGUGGGGGAUAACGUCCGGACACGGGCGCUAAUACCGCAUACGUCCUGAGGGAGAAAGUGGGGGAUCUUCGGACCUCACGCUAUCAGAUGAGCCUAGGUCGGAUUAGCUAGUUGGUGGGGUAAAGGCCUACCAAGGCGACGAUCCGUAACUGGUCUGAGAGGAUGAUCAGUCACACUGGAACUGAGACACGGUCCAGACUCCUACGGGAGGCAGCAGUGGGGAAUAUUGGGCAAUGGGCGAAAGCCUGAUGCAGCCACGCCGCGUGUGUGAAGAAGGUCUUCGGAUUGUAAAGCACUGUAAGUUGGGAGGAAGGGCAGUAAGAUAAUACCUUGCUGUUUUGACGGUACCAACAGAAUAAGCACCGGCUAACUUCGUG
Molecule: ribosomal RNA, 484 nt
Filed under: uncultured bacterium
Lineage: Bacteria
Description: partial 16S ribosomal RNA
Rfam family: Bacterial small subunit ribosomal RNA
Source: RNAcentral